This 583-nucleotide ribosomal RNA is filed under the name uncultured bacterium. Its description in RNAcentral is "partial 16S ribosomal RNA". It matches the Rfam family "Bacterial small subunit ribosomal RNA", at positions 355 to 935 of the family's 1533-position model. The record is from RNAcentral.
UGGGGAAUUUUGGACAAUGGGCGAAAGCCUGAUCCAGCAAUGCCGCGUGUGUGAAGAAGGCCUUCGGGUUGUAAAGCACUUUUGUCCGGAAAGAAAUCCUUGGCUCUAAUACAGUCGGGGGAUGACGGUACCGGAAGAAUAAGCACCGGCUAACUACGUGCCAGCAGCCGCGGUAAUACGUAGGGUGCAAGCGUUAAUCGGAAUUACUGGGCGUAAAGCGUGCGCAGGCGGUUUGCUAAGACCGAUGUGAAAUCCCCGGGCUCAACCUGGGAACUGCAUUGGUGACUGGCAGGCUAGAGUAUGGCAGAGGGGGGUAGAAUUCCACGUGUAGCAGUGAAAUGCGUAGAGAUGUGGAGGAAUACCGAUGGCGAAGGCAGCCCCCUGGGCCAAUACUGACGCUCAUGCACGAAAGCGUGGGGAGCAAACAGGAUUAGAUACCCUGGUAGUCCACGCCCUAAAACGAUGUCAACUAGUUGUUGGGGAUUCAUUUCCUUAGUAACGUAGCUAACGCGUGAAGUUGACCGCCUGGGGAGUACGGUCGCAAGAUUAAAACUUAAAGGAAUUGACGGGGUCAUAGCUGUUU